Molecule: long non-coding RNA, 883 nt
Organism: Aricia agestis (brown argus)
Lineage: Eukaryota; Metazoa; Arthropoda; Insecta; Lepidoptera; Lycaenidae
Exons: 2
Source: RefSeq, a predicted model, not a curated record
GGCUUAUCAAUACGUUUGAAUAGUUGGCUAGCAGGCUUAGAUUAGGUUAUCAAUUUGUACGAAGUGUUUACCAAAGACCAACGAAUGUUAUGUAUUUCGGUCGGGUUUGUUAUUGCGCCUUAUUUUCCGAAUUUCAUUCGACGAUUUCACCAAUAAAAUGCUUUUUGGUCAUUAUGUUGAGUUUCUUGUAAUAAAAAUUAUUAUAAAUUGAUAUUAUUAAAUUUAAGGUUUUAUUUUUGUAUUCGUACGAUAUGUAAAUAAAAACCAUUAUCUUAUCUAAAAUAUUUAUAUACCUACCUACCUAUUUUGUACAAUUUUACUGUGAAGCUCUAAGAAUUCCUAUUUUAUAUGUGUGUAGAUUGUAAAUGCAAUAUUCAAUAUACUACGGGUUUUGUAAUUAUUAUUAAUGUAAGGUCAUGGGUGUGGUAAACCACAGAAUUGCUGCAUCUAGAUUCUAGAGGGUGUAGGGUCUGUUAACGACGCAAAAUCGCAGCGCCCUGCAUUUUAUGCAUAAUAUGCGCAACGACGCGUCGCGUCGCUUCUCGCUCUGACUGACCCUAAGCCACUGAUAGUAAAUAUAAUAUGUAAUAAAUUUUAUUAUUAUAAAGAUAAUCACUAAUUUGAUUUCUUAUAUUUAUUACGAAAACUGCCACACUAUAAAAAACCAAUAAUGGCAUAGACAAAAUAGAAAUUAUGUUACUUGGCGUUAUGUUCGUAUCGAAUGUACGUGUAAUAUUCUUCUGUGUUUGAAAUAUCCGAUUUCAGUAUUCUUGGUGUAUUUUCAAUACACAAAGCGAUUUGUUCUUUUGUAUUUGUUUUGUCGAUCCUUUAAUUCUUGCAAUUUGAUUGAGAAUUUGUAUAAUAAAUGUGCUUUUAAUAUGGA